GGGGGAUAUUGCACAAUGGAGGAAACUCUGAUGCAGCAACGCCGCGUGAGUGAAGAAGGUUUUCGGAUCGUAAAACUCUGUUGUUAGAGAAGAACAAGGAUGAGAGUAAAAUGUUCAUCCCUUGACGGUAUCUAACCAGAAAGCCACGGCUAACUACGUGCCAGCAGCCGCGGUAAUACGUAGGUGGCAAGCGUUGUCCGGAUUUAUUGGGCGUAAAGCGAGCGCAGGCGGUUUCUUAAGUCUGAUGUGAAAGCCCCCGGCUCAACCGGGGAGGGUCAUUGGAAACUGGGAGACUUGAGUGCAGAAGAGGAGAGUGGAAUUCCAUGUGUAGCGGUGAAAUGCGUAGAUAUAUGGAGGAACACCAGUGGCGAAGGCGGCUCUCUGGUCUGUAACUGACGCUGAGGCUCGAAAGCGUGGGGAGCGAAC
This 426-nucleotide ribosomal RNA is filed under the name uncultured bacterium. RNAcentral's name for it is "bacterial SSU rRNA". It matches the Rfam family "Bacterial small subunit ribosomal RNA", at positions 356 to 773 of the family's 1533-position model. The record is from RNAcentral.